GCGGACGUGGCUCAGUUGGUAGAGCAUCACCUUGCCAAGGUGAGGGUCGCGGGUUCGAACCCCGUCGUCCGCUCCA
This 76-nucleotide transfer RNA is filed under the name Eggerthella sp. CAG:298. Its description in RNAcentral is "transfer RNA-Gly(GCC)". It matches the Rfam family "tRNA". From Rfam's summary of the family: Transfer RNA (tRNA) molecules are approximately 80 nucleotides in length. Their secondary structure includes four short double-helical elements and three loops (D, anti-codon, and T loops). The record is from RNAcentral. Lineage: Bacteria; Bacillati; Actinomycetota; Coriobacteriia; Eggerthellales; Eggerthellaceae. RNAcentral also lists the same sequence under 4 other names.